This is a long non-coding RNA of Scylla paramamosain (green mud crab), 909 nucleotides long. RefSeq lists it as uncharacterized. The transcript has 4 exons. Lineage: Eukaryota; Metazoa; Arthropoda; Malacostraca; Decapoda; Portunidae. The record is from RefSeq and is a predicted model, not a curated record.
GCAUCAUCUCCCGUUUUCUGCACCAUUCCAGUAAGUCAAAAUGCUUGUGCCGGGAGUAUUAUUUCUUUAAUCGUCGUGCACUUCAGGAUUACACUGACUGCCGCCAUGUUGCAUUAGUGUCUUGGCGCCAGGAAAGUAAUUAUUCAGCGAACCUUUAACUCAAUACUUAAAUGUACCUGGCUCGUGUGUUGCACCUGGAGGCUCGUCCGCCUAACGGGCCGAAUUAAGAAGCAGCAGGCGUCAGUGGAAGGGCUUCUCUGCAGUGGAAACUCAGGCUAUUCGUCUCCUCUCCUGUCCUUCCACCACCACCACCACCACCACCACCACCACCUUCCCUGUACAAAAUCGCAGCCGUCACCCGCAGGACACGUUAACGGGGCCGUGUCUGGGUUAACCGAGCUGUCACCACCUCAACCAGAAACUGUCUAAGCGGGAGUCGUAAAUCAGCGGAAUAGCAUCGCCAGAUGUGUCCUCGCCUCUUGAUGCUCGGAGUGGUGGUGAUGGUGGUACUGCAGGCCUGUGUGACCACCGCAGCUCCUCAGUUAGGCAACCCUCAUGGUGGUGGCGGAACCUACGGUGAUAAUGACAGAGGCCAUCCUGGUGAUGACGGAGGCCAUGAUGAUGACGAUGAUGGAGGCCAUCAUGGUGAUGACGGAGGCCAUGAUGAUGACGAUGAUGGAGGCCAUCAUGGUGAUGACAGCACCUACCGUGAUGAUCGUGAUGAUGAUGGACAUGAUGAUGAUGGAUACGGUGAUGACUCCUACCAUGGUGAUAAAGGCCGUCAUGAUAAACACUGAGACGUGUGCAUCGUGUACGGUCACCAGCUCGCCACGACUUCGUCUGAAAUAUCUGGAUGGUGAUUUGAAAAGUCGCCAGCCUGGAAGCACAUGAAGAAAAAAAAUCAUUGUC